RNAcentral lists this unclassified non-coding RNA (339 nucleotides) under soil metagenome. RNAcentral describes it as "partial contains 5.8S ribosomal RNA, internal transcribed spacer 2, and large subunit ribosomal RNA". The stretch from base 1 to 120 matches the Rfam family "5.8S ribosomal RNA", at positions 35 to 154 of the family's 154-position model. The record is from RNAcentral.
GAUGAAGAACGCAGCGAAAUGCGAUACGUAGUGUGAAUUGCAGAAUUCAGUGAAUCAUCGAAUCUUUGAACGCACAUUGCACCUCUCGGUAUUCCGGGAGGUAUGCCUGUUCGAGCGUCAUUUGUACCCUCAAGCUCUGCUCGGUGUUGGGUGUUUGUUCCGCCUCUGUGUGUGAACUCGCCUCAAAACAAUUGGCAGCCGGCGUACUUGUUUCGGAGCGCAGCACAUUUUGCGAUCCAGAUCAACGUACAGCGGCAUCCAAGAAGCCUUAUUUAACGCUCUUGACCUCGGAUCAGGUAGGGAUACCCGCUGAACUUAAGCAUAUCAAUAAGCGGAGGA